This is a long non-coding RNA of Pseudoliparis swirei, 1499 nucleotides long. RefSeq lists it as uncharacterized. The record is from RefSeq and is a predicted model, not a curated record. NCBI's taxonomy places the organism in Eukaryota, Metazoa, Chordata, Actinopteri, Perciformes, Liparidae. The transcript is spliced from 2 exons.
AUAUUUACAUUUUUAUUGACUAAUAGGUAAGUUUAUACGGAUUUAUAAAACAGAUUCCCCACGAAGAAUCAUACGGCAUGACAAAGCAUUAAAAAUAGAGAUGCUCCGAUCAGGUUUUUUGGUGCCGAUCACUGAAAUCAGUAUCUGCCGAUCCGAUAAUACCGAUCACUGUCGAAUCGACAGUGUCGAUUGAAGCAUUAUUUAUGAAAUGAAUUAUUCUUAACAACAUUGGUUAUGUAUUUUAAGUAUUUACAAUUAAAAUACAUUAAAUACACAACAUUUAAAUUUAGUACAUUAAAAUUGUUUGAUUGCCAGUGUAGGGGAUUUCAGAUAUGUAUGGAACACAUCUGCAUCAGUCAUUUCCUGGAAAUCUUGUGGAAAUCUAUAUACAGGACUUCAAAUAAUCAGAAAUGUGCUUUUUUAACACACAAAAGUCUGACCUUUAUUUUUAUUAACUCUUCCUUGGUACAGUAACAAUUUAAUUUCAGCAUAAUUUAAAUCUCAGAAACGAUCUAUAAAGAUACAAAAUCAGUUCAUUGCUUACUUUGAUUUCUUAGUGUAUGAUUUGUCGACAUCUUAUUUUGAAAAACGGAUGUUUUUUCACGUGGUUCUUUCCGCUAAUUUUGAAAAACCGGAUGUUGUGUCACGUGAAUCCUUCCGUUAACUUUAUCAAAACCCUCGCGCGCUCCCGAUCAAAUGCAUGUACCGUGAACAUCAGUCUAUCGGGGCACAGAAAUUAUUUGUCGGCUGAGUUGACCACGGAGAUCCGAGCGUCGGCUGAGCUGACCGCAUUUUGGCGGGACAGGGACGCCGCUCGGGCAAGGAGACCAGCAUUUUAAACAUGUAUGACAAGUUGGGUGGCUUCCUGAAGAAAGCAGAGCUGUGGAGAAGGUCCUCUGCAGAGGGAGAUUUCACCUGCUUUCCCCAGGUGGGUGCUUUUCUCUCUCAUGAGGAUGUGGACAGAGCUGCAGUCAAGUCGGUCAUAGUGGGACAUUUGACCAACGUGAUUAAAGAUUUUCAUUCCUACUUUCCUGACAUGGAGGAUAAAUCUGUACAGCUGGAUUGGGUGAGAAACCCAUUUCUCUUGUCUGAAGCAAACAGAAGCUACCUGUCACUUAUCAGGAAAAACUCCUGGAAGUGUCAUCUGACCGUGGCCUCCAGAUGAAGUGUGCCACAUCCACACUCACACAGUUUUGGGUGUGUGUGAAGCAGGAGCACUCUGACCUGGGACAGAAAGCUUUGGAGCAGCUACUGCCCUUUGCCUCCACAUAUUUAUGUGAGGCCUCCUUCUCUGCAAUGACUGUGAUCAAAACAAAGCAAAGAAACAGACUGUGCCUGGAGAAGAGCUUCAUCACAGCAGUGGCCUCCCUGCCAUCAAGACUGACAAAGAUCCUCAGUGAAGCACAAGCACACGUUUCUCAUUAAAAUGUAAAUGCUAAAGCAUUCAGUUUAAUGCAAUGUUCAUUGUUGACAGUUUAAUAAAUCCGACACUGAUGGCA